UCGAGCGUGAAUAAGUGGAGUGAGGACUUCGGUGCUGAGUGAAACUUAUGAAAGCGGCGGACGGGUGAGUAACGCGUGGGCAACCUGCCUCAUACAAAGGGAUAGCCACUGGAAACGGUGAUUAAUACCUUAUAAGUCGGUAGCAUCGCAUGAUGUAUCCGACAAAGAUUUAUCGGUAUGAGAUGGGCCCGCGUCUGAUUAGCUAGUUGGUAAGGUAACGGCUUACCAAGGCGACGAUCACUAACCGACCUGAGAGGGUGAUCGGCCACACUGGAACUGANACACGGUCCACACUCCUACGGGAGGCAGCAGUGGGGAAUAUUGCACAAUGGGCGCAAGCCUGAUGCAGCAACGCCACGUGAGUGAUGAAGGCCUUCGGGUUGUAAAACUCUGUCCUAUGGGAAGAAACAAAUGAAGGUACCAUAGGAGGAAGCCCCGGCUAACUACGUGCCAGCAGCC
This 459-nucleotide ribosomal RNA is filed under the name uncultured bacterium. RNAcentral's name for it is "bacterial SSU rRNA". It matches the Rfam family "Bacterial small subunit ribosomal RNA", at positions 62 to 516 of the family's 1533-position model. The record is from RNAcentral.